CUCGGAGGAGGGCGGAAGCGACAUUGAUGGCUUGCCGGUGAUCAGAUCGGGAAGAAGAAGGGCUCAUUUGAGGAGCCAGUCGAUCUCUACCGCCGAGGACUCCAUGCGGAACCCCACUCGGAUCGAAAAGUUGCAUUGUGCGCAUGCGGCAGCUGGAGACCGCGAGCAGCCACGCGCGCAUGAUUGAUGCGUGGACCAACAGGGACGUCCGCAACGUUUGGUCCGACACCAGGAGGUGCGCAGCGAAGCCAGUGACGACCCUCUGAUGUCCACUGGGGCGGCCACCAUUCCUCUUUUGGGCCACGCUCUGUCCCUUGUCCUUUCGCUGACGCUACUGCAUUUGGCGUUGCUGCCCCCAAGGCGAGCCUCAGUGCAGGCCGCACCAUCAGCGCGCCAACGUCGCGAGUCCUUACUGGUCACGAAGAUCUGCAUGGGAUCGCAGAGAUUCACCAACACCGUCAACCUCCUGCUGUCGUUCGGGCGGCGGGUGCUGGCCCAGCCCAGGCCGCUGGACGUCGGAGGAAACUUCGGUCUCAACUUGACGCUACGCGGACUCGACACGCUGUCACUGCGGGGCACGGCAGAGACGUUUUGCGACGACAACGUCGCGCAGGCGUGGCUUCCGCUCAGGUUGUCGCCAACCAUCGUGCUCACUCUGAUUUCCCCGCUGCCGUACCUUCCUUACGUCCAGAAGGACAUCUCGGGCACGCUGAGCGGACUCGAAGCCAACGUGGGUUUGCGAGUGGACAGGAACGACCCCAACGGUCGUCUCGUGAUCGCGUCGCUCGAAGUCGUGAACGUGGACGCUAUCGACGUGGAGCUGAGCUCGUUCGCGGCCUUUUCCGGCACGCCACUCACCUCGUUCUUUCAACUGCCCGGCAUGACGAGAAAGAUCGCGCUGCUGGCGCCCGUAGUUCGAGCCGCAUUGCAGAUGUUCAUCGACCGCGGCGGGUUUAGUCUGUAAAUACGUGAACGCCUUCGUACAACCAGCAACGAAAGCAGUGCCGUAAUGAAACAGCAGGAAACUUUGAUUUCCGUUGUGAAGCAGCGUGGCAGCUUCGCUAUAAGAGGUCAAAAACACCUAUUGGGCACUCGCCUUCCGUAUUAAACAUGCACUUGACUGGAGAACCGUUUAAGUACAAACGCUUAUACUCUUCUCCCGAAAUAAUUUAGUGGAUACGUUCAACUUGGAACAUUAGCAGCCUUAGGAUGUGUUCCGAUCGCAGGCGUACCAGGUUUGUCAGCAAGUCUUGACAUGUGCGACGUUUCCGUGGUCAACGGGAAUGUGAGGGACUGCAGCAAUAUUUCUUAUAUAUAGCUUAUUCAAUUUGUGAGAGCAUAAUUUAUGCAGCUGCCAAGGAUAUAUGGGUAUAGUCGUGAACGAAAGCCUGAUGACCACAGACUUUGGGGAAAGAAAUAUAUCGCAGUCUAGUCAUGCAGACGGAAGAGAAGUGGGGCUGCCUACGUCAUCGUCGUCGAUCCAAUGCAUUGCACUGACAGAGUUCUACAACUACGCUGUCUGCGUUCGCUGCGCUGUUUACACAGUGUUCUUUUCGCUGAUAAAAACCAGCAACCAACGGUAUUUUAGUACGUUGUCGUGAGUACAUUUUACGAAGGAAACAUAUUGAUUCAUGGGGUUUAACGCUCCAAAGCAACACUGGAGCUAUGAGAGACGCCGUAGUGUAGGCGCCCGGAUUAAUUGUUAGUCAAAAGGGGUUCUUUAAUGUACAGAUAAAUGUAAGUACGCGAGCUUUCUUGCAUUUCGCCGUUAUCAAUAUGCGGCCGCCGCGACCGGGAUCGAACCCGUUACCUCGUGCUCAGUAGUAGAACUCCAAAGCCACCGCGUUACCUCGGCAGAUUUUUCAAAUAAAGAAUUAAAUUAUUACACAACGUUGUACGUGUGAACUUUCCUUCAUAUACAGUGCCCCUGAGCGCUGCGGUCUCGUCCCCAGUAAGUAAGCCAAAUCCACAUGAAAGGUAGUAAACCCACGUGAAGCUUGUAACAAUUACCCCUUCCACCUACACGUAGGCGGCCACGUCCGAGGGAUCGUCGUCAUUACACUCAAAUCAAGUCCGCUGCAAGACUAACACGCGUAAGACAGCGUUCGAGCCUAUAUUAUUUUACGGACAUUUGACAUGGUCAAACUGAUGUGGAGUAGUUGCAACAUUCGCCUGAGAAAUAGCUUCGAUUCCUUUACGAUUCUUCGUAAAACAGUAUGAAAGCUCAAGCCGUCAAGGAUGACAAAUGACGUUUCACUAUAACAGUAAGUCCGCAAUAACAUAAUCGAUUUAGAGACCCUCGUUAAUGCCCGUAACAUAGACAGGCGCACCUGGAUUUUAAAUACGAACGGCAUGCAAUAAUAUGCCCAUAAAUCAUUUGCACGGUCGAUAUUGGUUACUAACCCAAUUUCUAAGAGUAUAUGUGUUCCUGAAAGAGCCAACUCAGGUUUUUAUAUCGAGUGAUAGCGUCGGAUAAAAAAAUGAAAAUCAAGGUUGCUAGCUCCCAGGAGUGAACAUCCGAGGCUGAUAAUGAAAUAUGAAUACAUCCGGAACAAUUUCCUCCGUGUACGGAAACCAUACAUAACUUUAUACAUCUGCGCAUGUCUAGUAAAAACCCCGCCAGAGUCAAUAGACCAUAACUAAAUGGGAGCGACUUGCUUUCUUUAAUUCUUUUCAGGAAUGAACGUUCCUCACUUGCUAUUCUAUUUUUUCCGUGUUUCCGCAUCAAUGAUGUGGAAGCGGCUCGCUGCCUGUGCUUAACGACCGUGGCCAUGAGGCCCGUUCCGAGAAUUGACGAUGGUUGUUCCUGAAGCCCAGGGAUUGUUUGCGCAGGCUGAUUUUUUUUUUUUUUCCAUUGUGCCACGGCAGAUAAGAAAGUUGCAUGUUCCUUGCCUGGUUGCUGGAUGUGGGGAUGGCGAUGCAAUUCGCUAGUAGGGAGAAAACAAAAAGAUGAAGUUCCACUCCAGAUAAUUAAUCAAGUAACGAUCGAAAUGGCAUGGCCCGAUGACGAGGAGUACGACGAAAGCGGCACGAGGACAAUAAUAACGAUGACCAUGGAUUUGAUGGCACGACGAGGGUCGACGCUUGACACAUCGUGGACGAAUCCUGAACCUAGGGCAGAGACAAACACCGUCUUACUUUGAGACGACUUCGUAUGCUCAGGCGCUCUCCUCAGAUGCGGGGGCGGCGUUCUGCAACAGCCGCCGCGCGUUGUCCGGCGCGUGCCCUGACCUUGGCACUAUUGUUGACACUGCUGCACUUGGUCCUCCUGCUGCCGAUACAGGCCGCUGCUCAAGAGGAGGACAUCGCGACGACGACGACGACAAAGAGACCGACGGCUUCGAAGCCUCGCGAGAAAGGGCUUGCCAAGCACAUCUGCAAGGGCACGCAGAAGUUCACCAACACCAUCAACCUGCUGCUGACGUUCGGCAAGCGCGUGUUGGAGGACCCGAGGCCGCUCAAGAUCGGCCAGGAGCUGGGCAUGAACGUGACGCUCAACGGGCUUGACACGCUGUCGCUGCGCGGAACCCCGCAGACUUUCUGCAACGAGAGCGUCGCCGAAGCGCUGCUACCGCUCAGGCUGUCGCCUUCGAUCGUGCUGCACCGCAGGCGCUCCAUCCUGUUCGGUGCUAACAGCGACAGGAACGUCUCCUACACGCUCAGCGGACUCGAGAUGGACGUCGGAGUGCGAGUAAACAGGAACGACCCGAACCGACACGUGGAGAUCACGUCGCUAGAUAUCGUGUACGUAGACGCGGUCGAGAUCGAGGUGAAAACGUUCGCGCCCAUCUCGGGCAGGCCAGUCACCAUGUUCUUCGAGCGGCCACCCACCGCCGUUAAGCUAGCUAUACUUAGGCCCAUCAUUCAGGCCGGGUUGCAGAGGAUGAUAGACAGCGGAGGCUUUAAGUUAUCGUCGUAAUAAAAUGUUGCUUUGUUUGUCGUGUUA
This is an RNA transcript of Dermacentor andersoni, 3946 nucleotides long. RefSeq lists it as uncharacterized. The record is from RefSeq and is a predicted model, not a curated record. NCBI's taxonomy places the organism in Eukaryota, Metazoa, Arthropoda, Arachnida, Ixodida, Ixodidae.